Ornithodoros turicata is the source of this 454-nucleotide long non-coding RNA. RefSeq lists it as uncharacterized. The record is from RefSeq and is a predicted model, not a curated record. Lineage: Eukaryota; Metazoa; Arthropoda; Arachnida; Ixodida; Argasidae. The transcript has 3 exons.
GUACACCGGGUGGUUGCCCUGGCAGUUGGCACAACGGUACUCAUUGCUGCAAGUCUCUGGCGAAUGGUCUUUGCCAGAGCACUUUGGGCAGGUGGAGUGUCCGCGGCAGACAAGCGAACUGUGCCCAAAAUGCUGGCACUUGAAACAACGUCUUGGGUUUGGAAUGUAUGGUCUGACAUUGCAACUGAGAGACCACGCCCUGCUCACUCAGUCCAUCUUCAAUCUCAGAUUCUGUGCAUUCCAGGAGUUCAUCUUCUGAUAUUACACCUUUGGUUAUGUUCAGUGUGCGGUGUACGUUAACACUUACAGUGCAGCAGGCGUGUCGCCCACCAUGGAGCCCAACUUAGGGAACGUGCCCCGCACGCUAACACCUACCUCUGCACUAUACCCUAGUGCAGCUUCUGGAGAGUGAAAAGACUGCCCAAGGUUGACCCUUGCCGCCAAAGAAGGUGAA